CCCCGCACGUCGCCCUCCCAGCGCCUGCUCUCGACCCAUCACCACCACCACCACCUCGGGUACUCGCUGCUGCCAGCACAGUACAACCUGCCCUAUGCAACAGGUCUCUCCUCCACAGCCAUCGUUGCCAGCCAGCAAGGCUCCGCUCCCUCCCUAUACCCACCUCCCCGGAGGUGAGAACGGUAAGGCUCCGCUCCUGCCGCACCUCCACGCGGGCAGCCGGGCCGGGCCGGAGGAGGCCGGGAUGGGCUCUCACGGGAUGCCCUCGAGGGUUUAGGGUUUGCCCGUGGCACUGGGGCUCAAGGGAGCUCACCUGCCCUUGGGUCAUGGCAGGAUGUGACCCACCAGGAUGCCUGGGCUAUACGAGACGUGUGACUGGCUCACAUGGAGAAGUGCUGGAGACUCCUUUAGACAUCAGUUGAAUGGUGUUAAUUGUACUGCUUGACGUUCCUGCCGUGGUCCGAGGUGGACUCUGUCUUCUCCCCUCGUCGGACACACACUGACUCCCCACCCCACCCCUCUUUGGCGAGUGGGUGAGCUGGUACCUGCGGAUGUAUUUAUUCUACUGAGCACCAGCACUCAGGGUGGAGGCGACACACCUGCCUGGUGCAUAUGAAGAGGAAACAGAAGCACUGAGGUUUCUCGAUGAAUUUGGGACCCUGCCGUGUCUCUGUGAGCUGCUGCUUCACGAACAGACUGGGGGCAGGCAGGGACUUGGAACGUGGGACCGAG
Molecule: long non-coding RNA, 732 nt
Filed under: Cyanistes caeruleus (blue tit)
Lineage: Eukaryota; Metazoa; Chordata; Aves; Passeriformes; Paridae
Description: lncRNA (ENSCCEG00000003692.1)
Source: RNAcentral